AAUAUCAUCCUCCCUCAUCUUAAACGGCACCGACCGCCACUGCAUUCAAUCAUCCUUUGUGCCAAUAAUAUACCUGUGGCAACAUACAUUAACGGGCAUUAUUGUUAUUGUUUUGUGACCCAGAUAGUUCGUGCAGAGGGCCUCGAGGUUCGAGUGUCACCGGAAGAGCCGAACACCGCCGAACAAUAGGGCCAUUCGACUGCGGCUGCGUCAUUUCGUUUUUCCCACUACUCCUGAACAGCAAAGAUUAUAGGGAGAAAUGGAUGGCUUACUUUCUGAACAGUUUGACAGUGCUGUCUCCAACCAUAGUAAGAGUAUUUGAUGUAUGUACAUACAUCGGAAUUAUGCUGUAUUGGUUGCGCUUGUAUAAAAACAGCGAACGAGUUAGCUUUUCAGUGCACGUAGACAAGCAAGCUAGCUAGCUAACAAGGAUAACAGUAAUUGGCUAAAUAUAUCGCUGUGCCUUGUUUUUUUGGAGCGUGUGACAGCUGUUCUAAACUGCAACUCUGGGAAUGGUGUGCUGGUAGUUGAAAGAACGAGGGACUAACCUGUAUGAGUGCUUCUCAGAUACCGGUUUCUGCUUUUUAUUUGAAGAAUAUCCUCUGCUGUAUUUCUGUGCAAAGCCACAUCACCAAACAUCCCGGAAACAAAACUUGCAGAGCAUCGAUUGGCCAGUGGAGGAUUGCACAACAGUAAGGGGAUGAUGGGGCCGGGUCAUGACCCACGAGUCAAUCUGAUUAUCAACAAUGGAAGACAACUUGGACGAAGCCUUCUUCUACUUGCACACUACACCACAGUGUUUGUGACCUUUGUGAGUCGCUCUGUGAACUGGUUCGUGCAGAUGCUAAAGUGGACCACACUGUUUGCACGGUACACCGUGUCCGUCUUUGACUCCAUCUACAGACACCUGCAUUGGUGGCGUAGAAGGGGCGGUGGAGGGGUUGCCAAGCAGAUCUGCCCCAGCCCUGACACAAAAUCAGGGUGACCAGAGUAAACAUGUCAAGUCUCUUUAAACUUGAAGAAGUCUUAAUGAUUUAAUUGAGAGUUUUAACCUUAGCACUAACCGGACAGCCUGCUCAAGACAUCAAAUCGGAAGAUCUCACUGCUCUUUUGGGAAAAUGAAGUGCAACAAUGGUGAGUUUAAGUAGAAUGGAAAUAGCACCUUACUGAAGUCAUUCAUUUCAUUGUUUAAUUCCUUACUAACAGUCUAGUGUUUUACAGUAUAUGCAUGUAUCUGUUGCAUGUGUAUUCCUUGUACUGUAAUGCCAAUGUGAAAGUUACAUGUUUUAAUUUUCAUAUCAUAAACUGCUAGAAUAAUGUUCAAGGACAGCUUCUCCAAAACCACUAACAGGAGGGGAAGAAUCAGGCAUUAAACACACUCACUUAAAGACAUCUCUGGUAUUAUAACACUUUUCUAAAGGGUAUAACGUUUAUUCAACUACACUACCCACCUAUGAACUGUCAUUUGUAACAUGUAUAGGAUGUACAGUAUAGGGGUCUAACUAAGCAGCUAUUUUGUCCCACAGCCAGCUAUUCAUGUGACUGUAAAUAACUGAGAAGUAUGCUUCCAGGGCCACCGGACAGGGAAUGGGUCUUUCACAUUCUAAUCUCGGCACCCAGAACCAAAUCUAAUCGCUUACAUUUAUGUUCAGUCGGUUUCAAGACUAUUCCCAUUUCUGCAUUAUACUAUCAGUAAUUCUAACCACUAUUGAGUUGAACGAAUACAGAAUUGUUUUUAUUUAUGCUUGUGUUUCCUUUUAUUGUAUUAUUUUUUUAAAAACGUAUUUUAUUUGUAAAAACUGAAAAUACUAUAUGAAUGGCAGCAUUGUGUUCAAAAUCAUGCCAACAAUAAUCCCUAGUUGGAAAUGUGUUGAUGGUUGUCUGUACUUAAAUCACUAUUUUAAUCACUCAUAUACACCGAGUAUACCAAACAUUAGGAACACCUUCCUAAUAUUGAGUUGCAACCCCCUCCCUCCCCUUUGACCUCAGAACAGACUUAAUUCGCCGGGGCAUGGACUCUUCAAGGUGUUGAAAACAUCCACAGGGAUGCCAACGCUUCGCACAGUUGUGUCAAGUUAGCUGGAUGUCCUUUGGGUGGACCCUUCUUGUUACACAGGAAACUUUAGUGUGAAAAACCCAGUAGCAUUGCAGUUCUUGACACAAACUGGUGUGCCUGGCACCUAUGACCAUACCCCAUUCAAAGGCACUUAAAUAUUUUGUCUUGCCCAUUCGCCCUCUGAAUGGCACACAUACACAAUCCAUCUCAAGGCUUAAAAAUACUUCUUUAACUGGUCUCCUCCCCUUCAUCUACAUUGAUUGAAGGGGAUUUAACAAGUGACAUCAAUUAGGGAUCAUAGCUUUCACCAGGAUUCACCUUGUCAGUCUAUGUCAUGGAAAGAGCAGGUGUCCUUAAUGUUUUGUAUACUCAGUGUAUACCACAGGUGUCAAACUCAUUCCAUGGAUGAAUGAGUGUCUGUGGGUUUUCGCUCCUCCCUUGUACUCAAUAGAGGAAUUAAGGUCACCAGCGAGUAACAAACUCCCCUCACCUGGUUGUUUAAGGCUCUAUUGAAAGGAAAAAACAAACUUGCAGACACUCGGCCAUCCAUGGAAUGAGUGACACCCCUGGUCUAGAUACAGCCUUUAAAGAUGGAACCCGCAUUAGGGGAAACGGCACCACAGUUCCUGUGUUACAGAGGUGGGCAGCGUGAUAAAAAAAAAAAGAAUUGCAGUACACAUUCUGCUGUUCUAUCUCACGUGCAAUGAUGUGCGAGGGGAAAACAAGUAUUUGCAGUAACUUUGUUGUAUACCGAACAAAAAUAUGAAUGCAAAAUGUAACAAUUAACAAUUUUAAUGAGUUUCAGUUCAUAAGGAAAUCAGGCAAUUUAAAUAAAUUAGGCUCUAAUCUAUGGAUUUCACAUGAGUGGGCAGGGGCGGAGCCAGGCCCAGCCAAUCAGAAUGAGUUUUUCCUCACAAAAAGGCUUUAUUACAGACAGAAAUACUUAUCGUUUCAUCAGCUGUCUGGGUGGCUGGUCUCAGACGAUCUCACAGUUGAAGAAGCCGGAUGUGGAAGUCCUGGGCUGGCGUGGUUACGAGGCUUGUUGGAUGUACUGCCAGUACUCUGUACUGUAAGUACUCUGUACUGUAGUCUAAGUAAGACACUUCUGACUGUAGGAUGUGCCACAAUGUUCUAUGUGGGCCUAAGCACCACAGUUGAAGUACUUUAUUGUGCAUUAUGCUAAAUCCACUGCUUGUCUGGUGUCAAUGUUACUGUUGCACUGUAUGGAGAAUCAAAGUCUGGCACUGUAAUACAGAUAGUUUAUGCUUGCAGAAAGCAUUGUCUUGUGGUCACAAUGAACUGAUUAAUGACCUGGUCCUACUUGGUCUAUGAAUGUGAAGGAAUCUCAAUAAACCAAACUAAAAACAGAA
This is a long non-coding RNA of Oncorhynchus keta (chum salmon), 3426 nucleotides long. RefSeq lists it as uncharacterized. The record is from RefSeq and is a predicted model, not a curated record. NCBI's taxonomy places the organism in Eukaryota, Metazoa, Chordata, Actinopteri, Salmoniformes, Salmonidae. The transcript has 2 exons.